This 422-nucleotide ribosomal RNA is filed under the name Pecten fumatus. RNAcentral describes it as "partial 12S ribosomal RNA". It matches the Rfam family "Bacterial small subunit ribosomal RNA", at positions 874 to 1496 of the family's 1533-position model. Lineage: Eukaryota; Metazoa; Mollusca; Bivalvia; Pectinida; Pectinidae. The record is from RNAcentral.
GCGCGGCUGCUUGGGUACUACGAGCGAGUGCUUAAAACUCAAAGAACUUGGCGGCUUGUUAACUACCUAGGGGAAUAUGCGCCUUAAUCCGAUGAUCCCCGUUAUAUCUUACUGAGCCUUGAAAAAGUGCAGCUGGUGUAUUGCCGUUGUCAGCUUGUUGUUCGAGCAAAGAGAAACAGGCUUAAUGGAUCCUGGUGAUUACUUUCACGGGAAUCCAUGAAUUCAGGUCGUAAUACUGCCUAUGGCUCAAGGGAGCGGGUGUUACAAUUCAUAUUUGGAAUUACGGAUCCUCAUCGUGGAAUCUUGGGGUGAAGGUGAACUUAGGAGUAAGGAUAGAUUAAUAUGCUUUCCUGAACAUGAAUCUAACUCGUGUACAAACUGCCCGUCGCUCUCGGCGAGAGCUGAGAUAAGUCGUAACAGGG